Molecule: ribosomal RNA, 331 nt
Filed under: Ancylus fluviatilis
Lineage: Eukaryota; Metazoa; Mollusca; Gastropoda; Ancylidae
Also listed under: 5 other names
Description: partial 16S ribosomal RNA
Source: RNAcentral
UAUUAUUUCUGCCCAGUGUAUAUAAUAUUAACGGCCGCAGUACUUUGACUGUGCUAAGGUAGCAUAAUCAAUUGGCUUUUAAUUUGAGUCUGGAAUGAAAGGAUUUAUGUGGAUUUACUGUUUCAAAUGUAUAAUAUUGAAUUUAUUAAAAAAGUGAAAAUACUUUUGUAUUAAAAAAAGACGAGAAGACCCUAAGAAUUUUUAGAAUAUAUUUAUACAAUUAUUUCUUUUUGUUGGGGCGACAAUUAAACAAUUAAACUUUAAUUAUUUUUUAAUCGGUUUUUUCAGUAAAAAAUAAAUUACCUUAGGGAUAACAGCAUAAUUUAAUAAA